RNAcentral lists this long non-coding RNA (453 nucleotides) under Canis lupus familiaris (dog). RNAcentral's name for it is "lncRNA (ENSCAFG00845027448.1)". The record is from RNAcentral. Lineage: Eukaryota; Metazoa; Chordata; Mammalia; Carnivora; Canidae.
AUUCUAACACAUGCUUCCUACCACAGGUGACGUUGAGUUAGUUCACUUUUGAGCCUUCUUACAGGACCCGUUUCUCAGAACUCGACCUCAGACACAGGGGAAGCAACCCCAGAUCGUCAACCAUGAGAAGACCAACCCCCAGUGCUCCUCACUACAAGGAGAGAGAAAAGUGUCUCCCUGGAUGGUCAGGCCCAGAGGCCCCUCCCUGAUGAGUCAAGAAGGAGUUACCUGCGAACAAGUCAAGGAAGAUGUUAGAACCAGAGGAGCAUCAGGACCUUGUGAUAAAAGAGCUCAGAGAAAUUAUAUAUGCACUGAAUAUGGAUGUCUGAGAGGUGGGGAAGAUUCCUUGGGGAGAUAAAUGGUUAAAGGAAUCGUAACAUCUUGUUCCGAAUGCUUCCUUUUAUCCGUUCCGUGUAGAUACGUACAAUGACCUGCAGGAAAAGAUGGCAGGUG